Molecule: long non-coding RNA, 329 nt
Organism: Parus major (Great Tit)
Lineage: Eukaryota; Metazoa; Chordata; Aves; Passeriformes; Paridae
Exons: 2
Source: RefSeq, a predicted model, not a curated record
CCAAAGCACUGCCUCCCUACCAGGAGGCAAGAUGAGUGCUGGAGGCACUUCUGAGGGACACAGCUCUCGGGACAGCCAGCAGUGCUGAAGGGGGACAUGGGGCACAUGGGAACUGCAGGCCACCUGCCUCUGAGACCCAAGAAGGAGAGACCUUGCUGACUGAAGCAGUUUCUCUGCUGAGAUGCGCUAUUGGCAUAGAGCUGGCAAAAUGAUACUAAAUUAGAAUAGAAAGCUUAGAAGCUACCUUCACUUAAAUACAAAAUCAUACAUGUAGUUCACUCAUAGUGGAAGAGCAAAUAAACAAAAAAUAAAAAUGUACGUAACAGCAA